UUUAUUGCGUUUUUUCGCUUUGAAUUCGAUUCUCUUAUUGUCCUUACUACUACUAAUGUCUGCAAGUUUCAGUAAUUUUACACUUGUUAAUUGAUUCUUUGAAAAGGGGGUGAGAAGUCACGGGAAUGUAACUCUCAAACGUCUCUACCUCUGUCGUAUUAUAUGAGUUCCGGCGAGUUUAUUUCAUCUUACAGUUAUUUUUUAACCUCAUACAUCAUUUUGCAACCAGUUGUCCCUAAGUAGUUUUAUACUCUGUCUAUCACUUUGUUGAUCAAUCAAGUGGAAUUUUUUUAACAGACUACGAACAACCAAGAGUAUUUUGUUUCUUGGUCUAGCACCGGGAAAGGAACGCAAUCCACAGAAAUUCCACGAAUCCCUUGGUGGAUAAGUCCGACGACUCAGUAGCAGUGCGGAAUUGAGUUUCUUGUCUGGUGGAUCUGAUCUAUAGUUAGGGGGCAAUACAUAACAAAAGGUUCGAAGAAGGGAUCAUUCAAUACAACAGUAUGAACACGAUACCAAGGCAAACCCAUGGAAAUACCUAAAAUCUUCGAGUUGAUAUGGAGAACUCCGAUAUGUCAUUUUCAGUGAGCUUGGACAAAGGCCAUGGUCGCGAAUGAGUAUGCCAAUGGAGCAUGGAAGGAUGGCUUUACAACAUUUAGGCUUGGUUGACGAGAAGUAUUAUGUGUGAAUAUGAUUGGAUUGUUGGGCUCACAAUUUUGCGAAUGAAGAUAAUGAUCACAGGAACAAUUCACCAAGCAAAUCAUCAUCUUCUCUUAUGGAAAGAUCUUCAGCUACUUCUUGAAAUAAUAUUUCAGCGAAGGCUGCAUAAGAAGCUCAAGGAAAAGCUCAACAGAAGUUCAAUGAAAUUAUCACUAUGAUCCUUAUAAGAGAGAUAUAUCGUGGAUGUUUUGGGAAAACAUAAAUCUGUGAAGUUGCCAAAAUUUAAAAUUUCAGUUUUGGAUGAUUGUUGUAACGAUUUCACAUAUUAGUUACAUAAAAACAUAAAUAUAAGGUGAAAGUUGUAUACUCCUAGUACCUUCUUGGUGCAGUUUUUUUGUUAAUAAAGUUACCUUAUACAAA
Molecule: long non-coding RNA, 1080 nt
Organism: Lycium barbarum (goji berry)
Lineage: Eukaryota; Viridiplantae; Streptophyta; Magnoliopsida; Solanales; Solanaceae
Exons: 4
Source: RefSeq, a predicted model, not a curated record